RNAcentral lists this ribosomal RNA (471 nucleotides) under Escherichia coli. RNAcentral describes it as "partial 23S ribosomal RNA". It matches the Rfam family "Bacterial large subunit ribosomal RNA", at positions 911 to 1386 of the family's 2925-position model. Lineage: Bacteria; Pseudomonadati; Pseudomonadota; Gammaproteobacteria; Enterobacterales; Enterobacteriaceae. The record is from RNAcentral.
UGUUUGGACGAGGGGCCCCUCUCGGGUUACCGAAUUCAGACAAACUCCGAAUGCCAAUUAAUUUAACUUGGGAGUCAGAACAUGGGUGAUAAGGUCCGUGUUCGAAAGGGAAACAGCCCAGACCACCAGCUAAGGUCCCAAAAUAUAUGUUAAGUGGAAAAGGAUGUGGCGUUGCCCAGACAACUAGGAUGUUGGCUUAGAAGCAGCCAUCAUUUAAAGAGUGCGUAAUAGCUCACUAGUCGAGUGACACUGCGCCGAAAAUGUACCGGGGCUAAACAUAUUACCGAAGCUGUGGAUUGUCCUUUGGACAAUGGUAGGAGAGCGUUCUAAGGGCGUUGAAGCAUGAUCGUAAGGACAUGUGGAGCGCUUAGAAGUGAGAAUGCCGGUGUGAGUAGCGAAAGACGGGUGAGAAUCCCGUCCACCGAUUGACUAAGGUUUCCAGAGGAAGGCUCGUCCGCUCUGGGUUAGUCG